Molecule: ribosomal RNA, 328 nt
Filed under: Salmonella enterica
Lineage: Bacteria; Pseudomonadati; Pseudomonadota; Gammaproteobacteria; Enterobacterales; Enterobacteriaceae
Also listed under: 1 other name
Description: partial 23S ribosomal RNA
Rfam family: Bacterial large subunit ribosomal RNA
Source: RNAcentral
GGGUUGUGAGGUUAAGCGACUAAGCGUACACGGUGGAUGCCCUGGCAGUCAGAGGCGAUGAAGGGCGUGCUAAUCUGCGAUAAGCGCCGGUAAGGUGAUAUGAACCGUUAUAACCGGCGAUACCCGAAUGGGGAAACCCAGUGUGAUUCGUCACACUAUCAUUAACUGAAUCCAUAGGUUAAUGAGGCGAACCGGGGGAACUGAAACAUCUAAGUACCCCGAGGAAAAGAAAUCAACCGAGAUUCCCCCAGUAGCGGCGAGCGAACGGGGAGGAGCCCAGAGCCUGAAUCAGCAUGUGUGUUAGUGGAAGCGUCUGGAAAGGCGCGCG